GUGCUCACUGGGGCAGCACGUACACUGAAAUUGGAGCAACACAGGAAAGGUUAGCAUGGCCCUGCGCAGAGGGGACAGCCAAGUUUGUGAAGCGCUCUGUAUACAA
This 106-nucleotide small nuclear RNA is filed under the name Carlito syrichta (Philippine tarsier). Lineage: Eukaryota; Metazoa; Chordata; Mammalia; Primates; Tarsiidae. The record is from RNAcentral.